AGUCUGUGGAAUUUGUGGGUUAACUCCCUCCGAGGCAUGUUGAUUAGUAACAUCCUCCGAGGCAUGUUGAUCCGUAACAUCUUCUGGGGAAGACGGAUCCGAAGAUGAUGGUUGUUUCUGAUUCAUGAUGAGGGCAAUCGUUGAGGACUUGCGGAAGCUAAAUCAGGAGCGAAGCCGCUCUGAUACCAUGAAAGAAAGCAAGAUCGAAGACAAGGAGAGAUGGCUUUGGGAGAAAAUUCAGUGUAUAUUUUCUCUGUAUUGCUCAAUACAUGAUGUACAAAUUUAUAAUACAAUGCAUAAAUGAAUAAAGGAAAUAAAAUAUUUUACAAA
This is a long non-coding RNA of Syzygium oleosum, 330 nucleotides long. RefSeq lists it as uncharacterized. The record is from RefSeq and is a predicted model, not a curated record. The transcript has 2 exons. NCBI's taxonomy places the organism in Eukaryota, Viridiplantae, Streptophyta, Magnoliopsida, Myrtales, Myrtaceae.